AAUGAACGCUGGCGGCGUGGAUUAGGCAUGCAAGUCGAACGCGAAAGCGGCCGCAAGGUCGCGAGUAGAGUGGCGAAAGGGCGAGUAAUGCUUGGAUGACCUACCCUCGAGACGGGGAUAACAGUUCGAAAGGACUGCUAAUACCCGAUGGUCCAUCCCGGAUGCGUCCGGGCUGGUAAACGGUUGAUUCCGCUCGUGGAGGGGUCCAAGUCCUAUCAGCUUGUUGGUGAGGUAACGGCUCACCAAGGCGACGACGGGUAGGCGGUCUGAGAGGACGACCGCCCGCAUCGGGACUGAGACACUGCCCGGACUCCUACGGGAGGCUGCAGUCGAGAAUCUUCUGCAAUGGGGGCAACCCUGACAGAGCGACGCCGCGUGGAGGAUGAAGGCCCUCGGGUUGUAAACUCCUGUCACAUGUUAAGAAACGUACGGGUUCACCCGUACGCCGACGAAGGCAUGAGAGGAAGUCACGGCUAACUUCGUGCCAGCAGCCGCGGUAAGACGAA
This 506-nucleotide ribosomal RNA is filed under the name uncultured bacterium. RNAcentral describes it as "bacterial SSU rRNA". It matches the Rfam family "Bacterial small subunit ribosomal RNA", at positions 29 to 529 of the family's 1533-position model. The record is from RNAcentral.